UCCUCUUCGGAGGACAAAGUGACAGGUGGUGCAUGGUUGUCGUCAGCUCGUGUCGUGAGAUGUUGGGUUAAGUCCCGCAACGAGCGCAACCCUUGAACUUAGUUGCCAUCAUUAAGUUGGGCACUCUAAGUUGACUGCCGGUGACAAACCGGAGGAAGGUGGGGAUGACGUCAAAUCAUCAUGCCCCUUAUGAUUUGGGCUACACACGUGCUACAAUGGACAAUACAAAGGGCAGCAAAACCGCGAGGUCAAGCAAAUCCCAUAAAGUUGUUCUCAGUUCGGAUUGUAGUCUGCAACUCGACUACAUGAAGCUGGAAUCGCUAGUAAUCGUAGAUCAGCAUGCUACGGUGAAUACGUUCCCGGGUC
This 366-nucleotide ribosomal RNA is filed under the name Staphylococcus delphini. RNAcentral describes it as "bacterial SSU rRNA". It matches the Rfam family "Bacterial small subunit ribosomal RNA", at positions 1014 to 1380 of the family's 1533-position model. The record is from RNAcentral. Lineage: Bacteria; Bacillati; Bacillota; Bacilli; Caryophanales; Staphylococcaceae.